GAUGAACGCUCGCGGCAGGCUUAACACAUGCAAGUCGAGGGGCAGCGCGGGAUAGCACUAUCCUGGCGGCGACCGGCGGAAGGGUGCGUAACGCGUGAGCGACAUGCCCGUUGCCCGGGGACAACCGGUGGAAACGCCGACUAAUCCCCGAUGGGAUAUUGUGCCGCAUGGCACGAUAUUGAAAGUUACGGCGGCGACGGAUUGGCUCGCGUCCGAUUAGCUGGUUGGCGGGGUAACGGCCCACCAAGGCUGCGAUCGGUAGGGGUUCUGAGAGGAAGGCCCCCCACAAUGGGACUGAGACACGGCCCAUACUCCUACGGGAGGCAGCAGUGAGGAAUAUUGGUCAAUGGGCGGAAGCCUGAACCAGCCAUGCCGCGUGCGGGAAGGAGGCCCUAUGGGCUGUGAACCGCUUUUGCCUGGGGGCAAUAAGGGCGUCGCGCACGUCCGAUGAGAGUACCAGGCGAAUAAGCAUCGGCUAACUCCGUG
RNAcentral lists this ribosomal RNA (486 nucleotides) under uncultured bacterium. RNAcentral describes it as "partial 16S ribosomal RNA". It matches the Rfam family "Bacterial small subunit ribosomal RNA", at positions 28 to 507 of the family's 1533-position model. The record is from RNAcentral.